UAGGAGUGGCGGCUGCUAUAAUGCAGUCGAGCGGACAGAAGGGAGCUUGCUCCCGGAUGUUAGCGGCGGACGGGUGAGUAACACGUGGGUAACCUGCCUGUAAGACUGGGAUAACUCCGGGAAACCGGAGCUAAUACCGGAUAGUUCCUUGAACCGCAUGGUUCAAGGAUGAAAGACGGUUUCGGCUGUCACUUACAGAUGGACCCGCGGCGCAUUAGCUAGUUGGUGGGGUAAUGGCUCACCAAGGCGACGAUGCGUAGCCGACCUGAGAGGGUGAUCGGCCACACUGAAACUGAGACACGGCCCAGACUCCUACGGGAGGCAGCAGUAGGGAAUCUUCCGCAUUGGGACGAAAGUCUGACGGAGCAACGCCGCGUGAGUGAUGAAGGUUUUCGGAUCGUAAAGCUCUGUUGUUAGGGAAGAACAAGUGCGAGAGUAACUGCUCGCACCUUGACGGUACCUAACCAGAAAGCCACGGCUAACUACGUGCCAGCAGCCGCGGUAAUACGUAGGUGGCAAGCGUUGUCCGGAAUUAUUGGGCGUAAAGGGCUCGCAGGCGGUUUCUUAAGUCUGAUGUGAAAGCCCCCGGCUCAACCGGGGAGGGUCAUUGGAAACUGGGAAACUUGAGUGCAGAAGAGGAGAGUGGAAUUCCACGUGUAGCGGUGAAAUGCGUAGAGAUGUGGAGGAACUUCAGUGGCGAAGGCGACUCUCUGGUCUGUAACUGACGCUGAGGAGCGAAAGCGUGGGGAGCGAACAGGAUUAGAUACCCUGGUAGUCCACGCCGUAAACGAUGAGUGCUAAGUGUUAAGGGGGUUUCCGCCCCUUAGUGCUGCAGCUAACGCAUUAAGCACUCCGCCUGGGGGAGUACGGUCGCAAGACUGAAACUCAAAGGAAUUGACGGGGGCCCGCACAAGCGGUGGAACAAAGUGGUUUAAUUCGAAGCAACGCGAAGAACCUUACCAGGUCUUGACAUCCUAUAGGACAACCCUAGAGAUAGGGCUUUCCCUUCGGGGACAGAGUGACAGGUGGUGCAUGGUUGUCGUCAGCUCGUGUCGUGAGAUGUUGGGUUAAGUCCCGCAACGAGCGCAACCCUUGAUCUUAGUUGCCAGCAUUUAGUUGGGCACUCUAAGGUGACUGCCGGUGACAAACCGGAGGAAGGUGGGGAUGACGUCAAAUCAUCAUGCCCCUUAUGACCUGGGCUACACACGUGCUACAAUGGACAGAACAAAGGGCUGCGAGACCGCAAGGUUUAGCCAAUCCCAUAAAUCUGUUCUCAGUUCGGAUCGCAGUCUGCAACUCGACUGCGUGAAGCUGGAAUCGCUAGUAAUCGCGGAUCAGCAUGCCGCGGUGAAUACGUUCCCGGGCCUUGUACACACCGCCCGUCACACCACGAGAGUUUGCAACACCCGAAGUCGGUGAGGUAACCUUUAUGGAGCCAGCCGCCGAAGGGACCAUGCCUAC
This 1461-nucleotide ribosomal RNA is filed under the name Bacillus pumilus. RNAcentral's name for it is "bacterial SSU rRNA". It matches the Rfam family "Bacterial small subunit ribosomal RNA". The record is from RNAcentral. Lineage: Bacteria; Bacillati; Bacillota; Bacilli; Caryophanales; Bacillaceae.